This is a long non-coding RNA of Pipra filicauda (Wire-tailed manakin), 750 nucleotides long. RefSeq lists it as uncharacterized. The transcript is spliced from 3 exons. The record is from RefSeq and is a predicted model, not a curated record. NCBI's taxonomy places the organism in Eukaryota, Metazoa, Chordata, Aves, Passeriformes, Pipridae.
CUCCUGGGUAACUGGUGCCUACACUGGGUCCUUCCCAAAAGGGCAUGGCAGAGCAGCGGCGCUGCCAUGGGGAAAGGGCUGCAGACAGAACCUACACAGGGAUGCAUAGCACCCCGCAGCAGCUUUAAGUGCAUUGGCCCAGUAGCGUAGAGAGUGACCCCUUUCAGUGGAAUAUAAAACAAAUCAUACAAGAGCAUUAAACAGACCUUUGAGACGCAGGGAGCAGGAGUUAUCUGUAGGUAAUGCUGUCUGAACUAAUCAAAGACGUACAGUGAAAGGAAUGAAAGAAGGAUGGUUCCUCCUAAAGUACAUAUCUGAAAUAGAGCAGCACUGGCACCACAAGCAAAGCCCCAUUUCCCUCCACAGACUGGAACAGAACCCAUAAAAUGUGCACUGCAGCUGUAGCAGAGCUCCUGAGAGACAAAUGGCAUCUCAGAGCAUAACUCCAUGCAGCAGCACUGACGGGAAAGCAAGUUCAAAGGCAUCCAGCUCUCUCCAGAGAACACAGCUAUGUGAGACCCUGCUGGAUAGAUGACUGGGUACCUGUUUUAGCACCAAAGUAUUAUAAAGAGCUUGUUCUGCCUCCAGGCAGUAAUUUGCUGAAGCACACAAGACACAUUUCCCACUGGCAGGAUGAAAAGAAAACUUUCACCCCAUUUUUUUUUUGCAAAACACUGCAUGAUGUCAUCUCUGAAAAGAGCUCUAUUGUACAUGUGGGCCAUGGCAAAUAUGGAUGGAAGAGAACUAAAA